UCGGGUGUCCAGGCGCCGGAUCUGAGCGAACGUCUCAGCCGGUUAGCUCAUGGGUGGAACAUUGACAUUGGUGCGGAGCCGAACGGCUCGAACUCAGUACGCCUCCUCGGAGGAAGGAACGGUUCGGAUCACUAGGCGCCGCACAUGCACGCUGUUGGGUCCUGAGGGACCGGGCCUCAUCGAAUGAUGAGAACUGGACCUCUGGACCUUUUCUUGUCGGCAUCACUUGCCGGACGGAGAAGGUACCGCCCGUACUUUGAGAACUACACAGUGGACGCGAGCAUCUUAGAUUCGAACCUUCGGGUUCGGAUCACAAAAGAUGAUCUGAUUUAUUAGAUCAUUGGUCAAUCUGCUCAUCUUCGGAUGAGCCGAUCGAUUCAAACUCAUGUGAUUUCAAAUUUCUAAGAGCAAACGGUGGAUGCCUUGGCAUCUGGAGCCGAAGAAGGACGUAGUAAUCUGCGAUAAGCCUCGGGGAGCUGAUAAACGAGCUUUGAUCCGAGGAUCUCCGAAUGGGGAAACCCCGCUGGGCCCUUUG
RNAcentral lists this unclassified non-coding RNA (535 nucleotides) under uncultured Leifsonia sp. RNAcentral's name for it is "partial contains 16S-23S ribosomal RNA intergenic spacer, and 23S ribosomal RNA". The stretch from base 392 to 535 matches the Rfam family "Bacterial large subunit ribosomal RNA", at positions 1 to 144 of the family's 2925-position model. Lineage: Bacteria; Bacillati; Actinomycetota; Actinomycetes; Micrococcales; Microbacteriaceae. The record is from RNAcentral.